Long non-coding RNA from Physella acuta, 291 nucleotides. RefSeq lists it as uncharacterized. The record is from RefSeq and is a predicted model, not a curated record. Lineage: Eukaryota; Metazoa; Mollusca; Gastropoda; Physidae.
CAGUUGACUUGAUUACACUGCAACACAUAGAGAGACGGGUGUUAAAUUAUAAAAGACAAGGAAAGUGGACAACCGGAGGUAACUACGACUUCAACUCUAAAACAAUCAGCGGGAAUGUGAUAUACGAAAAUGGAAAAUUUAAAGCCGAUGGCACGUUAACCUGGAACCCUAACAGUGGAUUUGGAGGAAACGUUGGGCUUUCCUACUCAUUCGGAUAACUCACUAGAAUAGUCUAGUGAGAAGUAUUUUGUUUUUUUUUGGUUGAAGAAAUAAAUAAAUAAAUAAAACUAU